RNAcentral lists this ribosomal RNA (497 nucleotides) under uncultured bacterium. RNAcentral's name for it is "partial 16S ribosomal RNA". It matches the Rfam family "Bacterial small subunit ribosomal RNA", at positions 28 to 507 of the family's 1533-position model. The record is from RNAcentral.
GAUGAACGCUGGCGGCGUGCCUAAUACAUGCAAGUCGAGCGAACGGACGAUAAUCUUGCUUCUCUGAUGUUAGCGGCGGACGAGUGUGUCACACGUGGACACUCUCCCUUUACGACGGGGAUCACUUGGGUAAACCGGCGCUAAUACCGGAUAAUCUGUUGAGCCCCAUGGUUCAUAACUGAUAGUCGGUCUUGCUGUCUCUUAUAGAUGGUUCCGCGCUGCAUUAGCUAGUUGGUAAGGUAACGGCUUACCAUGGCAACGAUGCAUAGCCGACCUGAGCGGGUGAUCGGCCACACUGGAACUGAGACACGGUCCAGACGCCUACGGGAGGCCGCAGUAGGGAAUCGUGCGCAAUGGGCGGAAGCCUGACGGAGCAACGCCGCGCGAGUGAUGAGGAGCUUCGGAUCGUAAAACUCUGGUAUUGGGGAAGAACAUAUGUGUAAGUAACUGUGAACAGCUUGACGGUACCUAAGCAGAAAACCACCGCUAAAUCCGUG